Hydra vulgaris (swiftwater hydra) is the source of this 614-nucleotide non-coding RNA. The record is from RefSeq and is a predicted model, not a curated record. NCBI's taxonomy places the organism in Eukaryota, Metazoa, Cnidaria, Hydrozoa, Anthoathecata, Hydridae.
AUUUGAUUUUUUAUAUUUUUCAAGGAAUUUUUAUAGUAUAUUAUAUUGCACUAUGUUUUUUUUUUGUAUGGUGAAAACUGUUCAAUUUACAAACUAUAUUUUAGUUUAUCAAAAUAUAUUUUUAUUGAUGUGUUUUGCCUCUGAUUCUUUCUUUUUCAGAUGUGCACUUGUGUCUUAGGUUUAUGCUUUGCAAAAGGUUCACCAUCGCCCUUAAGUUGCUGUGGGUUUUACGGUUUUACUUCCAACCUGGCAUAUAAAUGCACUUAGUAUCUGAAGUUAUUUGUCAAUAACUGGUGAUCAGACUUUCAAACGAACACGUUUUUAAGGGCUGAGAAGGUGAAAGUCAGAAGUCUGCAGACUGUAACGUAAAUCAAUUUUCAACACAUGGUUUUCUGAAUAUAUUUAGUUUUCGAUUGAAAUGAGAAUAAACUGAACUUAUAGAUAUGUUGAAAAUUAACUAUUUUAUAUUUUAAACGUUCGCUAAACGCAAGUGAAGCAAUAAUCUAUAGAUGCAAAUAUACUUUAUAUUUUGUUUUAGUUUAAAAAAAAAUAUUGUUACUUUUAUAUUCAUGUUGUAAUUGUAAAUUGCAAUCUUAAAAUGAUUUUUAUUAUAA